Molecule: ribosomal RNA, 245 nt
Filed under: uncultured bacterium
Lineage: Bacteria
Description: partial 16S ribosomal RNA
Rfam family: Bacterial small subunit ribosomal RNA
Source: RNAcentral
UACGUAGGGGGCAAGCGUUGUCCGGAAUUAUUGGGCGUAAAGCGCGCGCAGGCGGUCAUUUAAGUCUGGUGUUUAAGGCCAAGGCUCAACCUUGGUUCGCACUGGAAACUGGGUGACUUGAGUGCAGAAGAGGAGAGUGGAAUUCCACGUGUAGCGGUGAAAUGCGUAGAUAUGUGGAGGAACACCAGUGGCGAAGGCGACUCUCUGGGCUGUAACUGACGCUGAGGCGCGAAAGCGUGGGGAGC